This 253-nucleotide ribosomal RNA is filed under the name uncultured bacterium. RNAcentral describes it as "partial 16S ribosomal RNA". It matches the Rfam family "Bacterial small subunit ribosomal RNA", at positions 524 to 776 of the family's 1533-position model. The record is from RNAcentral.
UACGGAGGGUGCGAGCGUUGUUCGGAAUCACUGGGCGUAAAGGGCGUGUAGGCGGUCUGUUAAGUCUGAUGUGAAAGCCCGGGGCUCACCCCCGGAAGUGCAUUGGAUACUGGCGGACUCGAGUCUCGGAGAGGAGGGUGGAAUUCCUGGUGUAGCGGUGAAAUGCGCAGAUAUCGGGAGGAACACCUAUGGCGAAGGCAGCUCGCUGGGACGUUACUGACGCUGAGACGCGAAAGCGUGGGGAGCAAACAGG